CCUACGGGUGGCAGCAGUGAGGAAUAUUGGUCAAUGGGCUUACGCCUGAACCAGCCAAGUCGCGUGAGGGAAGACUGCCCUAUGGGUUGUAAACCUCUGUUGUCAGGGAGCAACGCCGGCUACGUGUAGCCGGACGGAGAGUACCUGAAGAAAAAGCAGCGGCGAACUCCGUGCCAGCAGCCUCGGUAAUACGGAGGAUGCGAGCGUGAGCCGGAUUGAUGGGGUUGAAUGGGAGCGUAGAUGGGUUGUUAAGUCAGUUGUGAAAGUUUGCGGCUCAACCGUAAAAUUGCCAUUGAUACUGGCAGUCUUGAGUACAGUUGAGUUAGGCGGACUUCGUGUUGUCGCGG
RNAcentral lists this ribosomal RNA (347 nucleotides) under uncultured bacterium. RNAcentral describes it as "partial 16S ribosomal RNA". It matches the Rfam family "Bacterial small subunit ribosomal RNA", at positions 338 to 681 of the family's 1533-position model. The record is from RNAcentral.